Molecule: ribosomal RNA, 1398 nt
Filed under: Triticum aestivum (bread wheat)
Lineage: Eukaryota; Viridiplantae; Streptophyta; Magnoliopsida; Poales; Poaceae
Description: partial small subunit ribosomal RNA
Source: RNAcentral
AUGGCCACCCGUGUGCAAACACUAGCUCUUCUUCCCCUGUUCCUUCUCUUCUCCCCUGCGCCCGCAGCUGAUAGUAUCAGCGCGACCUCUCCCGUCGCCGAUGGCCAGACGCUCGUUUCUGCCGGUGGAGUCUUCGAGCUUGGGUUCUUCACCCCGCCGGCCUCGACGGCGAGGUUCUUGGGCAUCUGGUACAAGGGCAUCGCUCCUCUUACUGUUGUCUGGGUCGCCAACCGGGAAGCACCCAUCACCGGCACCGCCGCGAGCUUGGCCAUCAACGGCACCGGCAGCCUGGUACUCGCCGAUCGGUCGGGACGUCCGUUCUGGUCCUCGGCGCGGUCGAACGUAACCAGCAGUACUCCGGUGGCCCAGCUCCUGGACAGCGGCAACCUCCUGCUUCAAGACGCCAGUGGCACGGGGUCGGUUCUGUGGCAGAGCUUCGACUACCCGUCCGACACUCUGCUCCCGGGUAUGAAGCUCGGGUGGCACCUGGCCACGGGGCUCGACCGCUACCUGACGACGUGGGCGAGCCCCGGCGACCCGUCGCCUGGCGACUACACGUUCGCGAUCGACAUCCGCGGCGUGCCGGAGGGGUUCAUCUGGUACAACGGCACGGCGCCGGUGUACCGGAACGGGCCGUGGAACGGCCUGCGGUUCAGCGGCGAGCCGGAGAUGGCGCCGGACAACGGCAACUUCCAGUUCGAGUUCGUGGCCAACGGCACCGACGCAUACUACACGUUCCUGGUAGACGACGGCGGCGGCGGCGGCAACGUGGUCUCGAGGUUCGUGCUGAACCAGUCGAGCCUGCAGCGCUACGUGUGGCUGCAGCAGCAGCAGGCGUGGAGCCUCUACUGGUCGCUGCCCCGGGACCCGUGCGACGGCUACGCGCAGUGCGGCGCCUACGGCGUCUGCGACGCCAGCGCCUCGCCGAUGUGCUGCUGCCCCGCCGGGUUCACGCCGGCCUCGCCGCGGGAGUGGGCGCUGAGGGACGGCUCGGCCGGGUGCGCGCGCAGGACGCGGCUCAACUGCACCGGGGACGGCUUCCUGCCGCUGCGGGGCGUCAAGCUGCCCGACGCCACGAAUGCGACGGCGGACGCCAGCGUCAGCCUCGAUCAGUGCCGGCAGCGGUGCCUGGCGAACUGUUCUUGCCUGGCGUACUCUGCGUCGAGCAUAAAGGGGGGCGAGAGCGGCUGCAUCAUGUGGAGCUCGUCGUUGAUCGACAUCCGGCGGUUUGAAUCCGGCGGGCAGAAUCUGUUUGUUCGUCUCGCGGCGUCCGAUUUACGUAUGGAUCUCCUCUCCUCUCGUUUUAAUCUGUUGAUAAUAAUUUCAUGCAGUAAAUUUUCUUGUUAUUCAAAGGAUGUCCAUCGGAUCAACGCACGUUCCAUUUGCUCUCACAAGUAA